RNAcentral lists this ribosomal RNA (418 nucleotides) under uncultured bacterium. RNAcentral describes it as "bacterial SSU rRNA". It matches the Rfam family "Bacterial small subunit ribosomal RNA", at positions 361 to 776 of the family's 1533-position model. The record is from RNAcentral.
AUAUUGGUCAAUGGACGCAAGUCUGAACCAGCCAUGCCGCGUGAAGGAUGAAGGCGUUCUGCGUUGUAAACUUCUUUUAUUGGGGAAGAAACCUGUUUUUUCUAAGACAGACGACGGUACCCAAGGAAUAAGCACCGGCUAACUCCGUGCCAGCAGCCGCGGUAAUACGGAGGGUGCAAGCGUUAUCCGGAUUUACUGGGUUUAAAGGGUGUGUAGGCGGACUUUUAAGUCAGCGGUGAAAUCUCCGGGCUCAACCCGGAAACUGCCAGUGAUACUAUUGGUCUUGAAUAUUGUUGAGGUGGGCGGAACGGGUCAUGUAGCGGUGAAAUGCAUAGAUAUGACCCGGAACACCGAUUGCGAAGGCAGCCCACUAAGCAAUGAUUGACGCUGAGGCACGAAAGCGUGGGGAUCAAACAGG